CGGCCAUUUUGUGCCUGUUUCCUGUGGGACGCGGCGGUGGCGGUUGGGUCUGAAGGGAGAGCGGUUUUGGCCUCGUUUUUCCUGUUCGUUUUCUCCUCCCUUUUACUUUGUCGGUAGAGCGCAGUCAUGGGUCGCAAGAAGAAGAAGCAGCUGAAGCCGUGGUGCUGGUAUUGUAAUAGAGAUUUUGAUGAUGAGAAGAUCCUUAUACAGCACCAAAAAGCAAAGCAUUUUAAAUGCCAUAUAUGUCAUAAGAAAUUGUACACGGGACCUGGUUUAGCUAUUCAUUGCAUGCAGGUGCAUAAAGAGACAAUAGAUGCUGUACCAAAUGCAAUACCUGGGAGAACAGACAUAGAAUUGGAAAUAUAUGGUAUGGAAGGUAUUCCAGAAAAAGACAUGGAUGAAAGAAGACGACUUCUUGAACAGAAAACACAAGCAGAGAGUCAAAAAAAGAAACAACAAGAUGAUUCUGAUGAAUAUGAUGAUGAUGACUCUGCAGCUUCAACUUCAUUUCAGCCGCAGCCUGUUCAACCUCAACAGGGUUAUAUCCCCCCAAUGGCACAGCCAGGACUACCACCAGUUCCGGGAGCGCCGGGAAUGCCUCCAGGCAUACCUCCAUUAAUGCCAGGUGUUCCUCCUCUGAUGCCAGGAAUGCCACCAGUUAUGCCAGGCAUGCCACCUGGAUUGCAUCAUCAGAGAAAAUACACCCAGUCAUUUUGCGGUGAAAACAUAAUGAUGCCAAUGGGUGGAAUGAUGCCACCUGGACCAGGAAUACCACCUCUGAUGCCUGGUAUGCCACCAGGUAUGCCCCCUCCUGUUCCACGUCCUGGAAUUCCUCCAAUGACUCAAGCACAGGCUGUUUCAGCACCAGGUAUUCUUAAUAGACCACCUGCACCAACAGCAACAGUUCCUGCUCCGCAGCCUCCAGUUACUAAGCCUCUUUUCCCCAGUGCUGGACAGAUGGGGACACCUGUAACAAGCUCAAGUACAGCUUCAUCCAAUUCAGAAAGUCUGUCUGCAUCUUCUAAAGCUCUGUUUCCUAGCACAGCACAAGCUCAGGCAGCUGUGCAAGGACCUGUUGGUACAGAUUUCAAGCCCUUAAAUAGUACCCCUGCGACAACUACAGAACCCCCAAAGCCUACAUUCCCUGCUUAUACACAGUCUACCGCUUCAACCACUAGUACAACAAAUAGCACUGCAGCUAAGCCAGCGGCUUCAAUAACAAGUAAGCCUGCUACACUUACAACAACCAGUGCAACCAGUAAGUUGAUCCAUCCAGAUGAGGAUAUAUCACUGGAAGAGAGAAGGGCACAGUUACCUAAAUAUCAACGUAAUCUUCCUCGACCAGGACAGGCUCCCAUUGGUAAUCCACCGGUUGGACCAAUUGGAGGUAUGAUGCCACCACAGCCAGGCAUCCCACAGCAGCAAGGAAUGAGACCCCCAAUGCCGCCUCAUGGUCAGUAUGGUGGUCAUCAUCAAGGCAUGCCAGGUUACCUUCCUGGUGCUAUGCCGCCAUAUGGGCAGGGACCGCCAAUGGUGCCCCCUUACCAAGGUGGGCCUCCUCGACCUCCGAUGGGAAUGAGACCUCCUGUAAUGUCGCAAGGUGGCCGUUACUGAUCUUACUUCAUCCAGUCUAAUAGGUUUUUAGAAGUGAAGUAUAGUAAAUUUGGUUCGUUAUAUUGUGAAGGCGCUGGAAUUACAUGAACAUACCACCUUAAUAAAGCCCUGCCAUAGGACAGACUGAGGCUGAGUCUCAGUGUUGCCCUGUUCAGUCUGAGGCAAGUGGGAUUUAUUUUAUUCCUUAUAGGGGCUUUCACAGCUUUAUGGCUGUUGGAUAUUUAUGUCCCCAAACUUGCAGCAAGUUUGGUGAAGGCCCCUAAAUUUAAUUAAACUUAGGAUUUUUAUACUCUUUUGGCAGAGAAGGCUCUAUAUUAAUAUUCACGUUUGACUGUGGUGUUAAUAAAUAUUUUAUAUAUAUAAUUUUGUGUAAUUUACUUUGUGUUGCGUAAUAUUUAAUGGCCUCAGUAAAGCUGGUAUUACUAUAUUGAACUUAAGAAAAUCGACAAAAUUUGACAUUCUUGAUUUGGAGGCAUGAAAUAUUUCAUUCAAAUUUUCCACUUCACUUUUAGGAAAAUCUUACUGGUUAUUUUCUCCUCAAACUAUUAAAUUUAACUUCAAGGAUAAGUUUAAUCAUUGGAAAUGCCACUGGAUACUGAAAUCUGCAUUCUUAAUCCCAAAGUUAUGCAUUGAACAUUAAGGUUGAAAAGUCAUCUGGAAAUGCUUAUGAUUUUUGAUAUUUUCAAACCUCACCACAUUAGAGCAAAUGUUAAUGUAGAGCCCUGUGAAGAGUGGGAAGGUUGUGUGUGUGUGGUAUGUAUGUGUAUACACUACACAUUUGAGAUAAAAGAGUUUGGGUAUUACCGACCUGAGAGUGGCUAGAUUACUAAUUUUCAGGUAGCCAAACUGAAAUUUGGAUCCGUUUGUGGUAAAGUUAGUCUUUUGAACCUAUGGUUUUGAAACGAUUUUGAGGUUCAUUUUCAGCCCUAUUGAACAAUAUUUUAUGCAGUAUGCACACAUGAAAACUAUCCAUGUUUGUUUCCAACUAAAAUUUUCUCUUAUUUGGUGAGAAAAUUGUGUGUAUGUUAUAGGGGAUAAAGAGGGAACUGGAAGACAGGCCAAAACAUAAACCUGGAUUAUUUUUGUUUUUUCCUGUGUUUAAGUCAUCGUUCUACUCAGAUAGCAUUUUCUGCUAAACAAACAGUAACAAGUAACAUACUACAACAUUUAGCAAACCAAGGAUUGUGUUUCUUUGUGGUUUUAAUUUUUGGAAACAUAAAAAACAUGCAGUAAAUAAAUUCCAAAUUUUCACCUGUUUGAUUAGAACAUGUUUUUCUGUGUAACUGAAUCAUGGAAAAAUAUUUUAAUGUUUGAAAAAACAAUUUUGUCACAGCAAAAAUACUCUAUUGGGAUAUUUUAUAACCGACUCAGUAAUUACACCUUUUCUGUGCACCCACCAUCCCCCAAUAUACUGAAAUAUUUAAGAGUGAAGCUGCUUGUCCUAAUUCUGAUAGUGAUAAUUGAAAUAAUAUAACUGAAAUAGGCUCUUACAUAACUUGAGUACUGGAGGUGGGAGGGAUUUUCUAAGGGUGGCAUAAUUUGUUAAAGGUGAUAUAGAUACCUAAUUUAAAAUGUAGUUUCUUUGAUAUAUCUGUAGUUCUGUGACUCAGACAAAUAUGAUUUUGAGGAUUACAUAACUUUUGGGUAUCUGUUAUGUCCACUGGCAAAACUUGGUAAAUGAAAAGAAAUGUUGAAGUCACUUCUUUACUGAGAUAAAAUUUUGUUUGAGUAGACUGACAUUUGUAUUGGUUAGGGAUUAGAAAUAAUAUUAAACAUGUACCCUAAAAUUGUAUAUAAAUCAGGUAUGUCUUUUUGAAAAGGUAGUAGUCACCGACCUAAUAUUGAAUAAUUUUUGUAUGUUAUUCUGAAAUGAAACUGUUUUCUCUUACUGUAUCUUUUAUGGAAAAGUCUUCUAAAACAAGGGAUUCCGGUAUAAGACUAUUGAUUAUAGGGCAGGUUUUUGUAAGUAAACAUUACCCCAGUUACACUUCUGCUAGCUGUCUCAUGACUUGAAUAGUAGUGAAGGUUACUCUCCCCCCCCUCAGUAUUUUCUUUUCUGUCAUCCGAAUCAUUUUAAUAAAUAACCUUUUGUUUUUAUAGUGCAGAAAUCA
RNA transcript from Equus quagga, 3725 nucleotides. It is a transcript of the gene named zinc finger protein 207, with no coding region annotated. The record is from RefSeq and is a predicted model, not a curated record. Lineage: Eukaryota; Metazoa; Chordata; Mammalia; Perissodactyla; Equidae. The transcript has 14 exons.